This is a long non-coding RNA of Meriones unguiculatus (Mongolian gerbil), 1913 nucleotides long. RefSeq lists it as uncharacterized. The record is from RefSeq and is a predicted model, not a curated record. The transcript is spliced from 3 exons. Lineage: Eukaryota; Metazoa; Chordata; Mammalia; Rodentia; Muridae.
UUUAGAAUAAGAACAGAGUCCAGUCACGGUCCACUGAGCCACAGUGGGUGGUUGUCCGCUGGUAGCUAGAGGAUCCCCUGAGAAUGAAAUGAAACGUUCGCGAUUAGCGCUGGCGCCACCACGGACAGAGAGAAGCGAGGUCUAAGGGCCUUCUCGACUGGAGUUUCCCUGGGGCAGAGUUCUGGCAGAAGCAGCUGCAGCUGGUGGUUUCAGACCGGAGCCCCGGGGCCCUGGGAUGCAAGCUCAGCUCUGUCUAAAUUUAGCAUUUAAAGAGGUUCCCCCAGAAGCAGCAGUGGAAGACAACGGCGACCCCUGCUGGUUUCCGUCGAGAAUCUCAGAAGUUCAGGGAACUGAAAUCCACUCCAAACCCAAGACCAAGCUAAGAAGGAAGAGAGGGAGCCACGGGCGUGCAAGCAGCCAGGAGGAGGGCGCUCAGCAGCCUUGCAGAAUGCCUUGGGACGCUUUGCAAGAGACAGGGCGAAAUGCCCCGGGCAGCUUUUGAGGCCAGGGCAGCACUGGCCUUAGAUGAUCACAGGACAUAUCCAGCGCUGGGGACUCACUGACACUUCGCUGAAUCGCCUGGACCUAAGAAACUGAGCUUUGAGCACAGCGUACCUCUCCCGCAGGAAUGGAAAAACUGGCGGCUGUCCCCUCAGCGCCCCCUGGUGGCUCCGUCAGCACCGUGCACGGCAAGGGGCCAGCGGGGCCUGUGAUGCCGCGAAGAUGGCCAGAAAACUGGGCGAUCCUCCCCACUUUAAAAUGAAAAGUUCAGCAAACCACGACUGGGAUGGAUGACUGCGCUUCCUUCUGGGUGCCGGGUGAUCGCUGAGAAGCUACCCACAUCUUAGUGUCCGAAUAUAGGCCGGGAGGUCAGUCACCAGGGACGUUGGCACUACUAAUUCUUUUGUUUUUUGAGAUAGGAUUUCUCUGAGUAACAGCCCUGGCUGUCCUGGAACUUGAUUAGUAGGCCUUCAACUCACAGAGAUCCACCUGCCUCUGUCUUCUGAGUGGGGGGAUUAAAGGUGUGGACCACCAAGUCCAGCUACUGAUUUUUGAACGGAGUUAAGGAGUCUGUCUGUGUGGUAAUAGAGACUGGGGACGUGGGCUUUUCCUCUUAGACUGAGAUAUUGUAGUCAGCUUUGAUGGGUGCUAAGGUUUGUACACCAAGUCUUCAAUACCUUUCCCUUCCCCUAAGGCUCCCGUGAAGCCCAGGACCCCUGGAUCCAGGGUUCACGAUGGCACUGAUUUCAUCAAAGGAGUGUUAGGACAUGAAGCCUGCUGGGAGGAAACAGGUCAGUGAGGGGCAGGAGUGAAUGAUGUACCUUUCCCGCAGCUCUCUGCCUCCUGAAUGGCAUGGACUGGCACCUCUGUUCUCCGAAUGCUCCUAGCUCUGCCAAGUGUUCCCUGCUGUGAAGAUCCUGCCUCACCUCAGGCUGAAAGCAAUGAGGCCAGCCAAGCAUGGGCAAGAACCUCUGGGUUGUGGUGAUGUCUGAGAACAUCUGCACGACCCUACAUUUAAGGAUCAAUGAAAAUCACAGAAGAGGAAGCAGAAAGACUAAGAAACAGAGGCCCAGGGUGUCUUCUAUUAGAUAGCAUCCCCUAGACAUGGACUCUCAAUACAGUUGCCCCAACAAGACCAGCAUCAUGACACCAGCUGACAGGUAACACCCAUUCCACGUGGCCUCACCCCUGUAUAAAAAGCUACAGGCUGCUGAGAGAGGGAGCAGCAGUUUCUUCCAGGCAUGAGCUCGCACGUCGGUCGUCCAAGUGGUCAGCUUUAGUACAUACACAGGAGCAAAGAUAAAUUGGCUCAACGGGAUGUGUGUGUGCAUGUGUGUGUGUGAGUGAUAUAGAAGCAGUGUUCAUGUAUGAAAUCUAAGCCAAACCAACCCCACCUAUGCCAUUAAAAGAAA